AUCCAGCUGACGAGUCCCAAAUAGAACGAACGCGCGUGUUGGAU
Molecule: non-coding RNA, 44 nt
Organism: Schistosoma rodhaini
Lineage: Eukaryota; Metazoa; Platyhelminthes; Trematoda; Strigeidida; Schistosomatidae
Source: Rfam